ACCACAGCCAUAUCACCCUCUAGCCCGAGACUGGUUGCCCACUGAAGCUAAGCAUGGUUGAGCCUGGUCAGUACGCAGUACCUGGAUGAGAGACCUCCUGGGGAAAACUAGGUUGCUGCUGGAA
This 124-nucleotide ribosomal RNA is filed under the name Sinocyclocheilus anshuiensis. The record is from RNAcentral. Lineage: Eukaryota; Metazoa; Chordata; Actinopteri; Cypriniformes; Cyprinidae.